GAUGAAGAACGCAGCGAAAUGCGAUAAGUAAUGUGAAUUGCAGAAUUCAGUGAAUCAUCGAAUCUUUGAACGCACCUUGCGCUCCUUGGCAUUCCGAGGAGCAUGCCUGUUUGAGUGUCAUUAAAUUCUCAAGACCUGUCUGCUUUUUUGAUAGGUAUUGGAUUUUGGGGGUUGCAGGCUGUUUCAAAUAAAUAGCCUUGCUCUCCUUGAAUGUAUUAGUGGAGAAAAGCCAUUGAUCUCCAUUGGUGUGAUAAAACCUAUCAAUGCCAGGAGCAAUAUCACUACUUCUCUCUGCUGUCUAACUGUGACUGUCUGUAUUAAUUAGUAUGGAUGGGGACAACUUGACCAACUUGACCUCAAAUCAGGUAGGACUACCCGCUGAACUUAAGCAUAUCAAUAAGCGGAGGA
Molecule: unclassified non-coding RNA, 408 nt
Filed under: soil metagenome
Description: partial contains 5.8S ribosomal RNA, internal transcribed spacer 2, and large subunit ribosomal RNA
Rfam family: 5.8S ribosomal RNA (bases 1-120)
Source: RNAcentral